UAGGGAAUUUUCGUCAAUGGGCGCAAGCCUGAACGAGCAAUGCCGCGUGAACGAGGAAGGUCUUCGGAUCGUAAAGUUCUGUUGAAGGGGAAAAAGAGCGGAGAGAGGAAAUGGUCUCCGAUUGAUAUUACCCUUCGAGGAAGUCACGGCUAACUACGUGCCAGCAGCCGCG
RNAcentral lists this ribosomal RNA (172 nucleotides) under uncultured bacterium. Its description in RNAcentral is "partial 16S ribosomal RNA". It matches the Rfam family "Bacterial small subunit ribosomal RNA", at positions 355 to 519 of the family's 1533-position model. The record is from RNAcentral.